AAUUGUUGUUGUUGUUCUCAGUUGUUGUUGUUGUCGGUUGUCGAUGGCGCGCUGUGUGAAGCUUGCGAAGCUUCAGUUGCCAUUAGAACUUCGACUUUGACGUUGUGCGAUCGCGAGCGCGUUCCGACAAAACGAAAGAAAGAAAGAAAACAAAGCAAUUACACUGCGCUACACAAUACCGUUGUUGGUAUACGAAACUGUUGCUAUUUAUAGCAUAACUAAAAGCUUUUUCAGUUUUAGUUGUGUUUCUGCCAGCGACGAGUGACACAGAGAAAGAGAGAAAUCUCUAAACGACG
Long non-coding RNA from Drosophila montana, 296 nucleotides. RefSeq lists it as uncharacterized. The transcript has 2 exons. Lineage: Eukaryota; Metazoa; Arthropoda; Insecta; Diptera; Drosophilidae. The record is from RefSeq and is a predicted model, not a curated record.